This 637-nucleotide ribosomal RNA is filed under the name uncultured bacterium. RNAcentral describes it as "bacterial SSU rRNA". It matches the Rfam family "Bacterial small subunit ribosomal RNA", at positions 607 to 1244 of the family's 1533-position model. The record is from RNAcentral.
GCUCAACCCCGAGCGGCCAUUGGAAACUGGGGAGCUUGAGUGCAGAAGAGGAGAGUGGAAUUCCACGUGUAGCGGUGAAAUGCGUAGAGAUGUGGAGGUACACCAGUGGCGAAGGCGACUCUCUGGUCUGUAACUGACGCUGAGGCGCGAAAGCGUGGGGAGCAAACAGGAUUAGGUACCCUGGUAGUCCACGCCGUAAACGAUGAGUGCUAGGUGUUAGGGGUUUCGAUGCCCGUAGUGCCGAAGUUAACACAUUAAGCACUCCGCCUGGGGAGUACGGCCGCAAGGCUGAAACUCAAAGGAAUUGACGGGGACCCGCACAAGCAGUGGAGCAUGUGGUUUAAUUCGAAGCAACGCGAAGAACCUUACCAGGUCUUGACAUCCUUUGACCACCCAAGAGAUUGGGCUUCCCCUUCGGGGGCAAAGUGACAGGUGGUGCAUGGUUGUCGUCAGCUCGUGUCGUGAGAUGUUGGGUUAAGUCCCGCAACGAGCGCAACCCUUGAUCUUAGUUGCCAGCAUUGAGUUGGGCACUCUAAGGUGACUGCCGGUGACAAACCGGGGGAAGGUGGGGAUGACGUCAAAUCAUCAUGCCCCUUAUGACCUGGGCUACACACGUGCUACAAUGGAUGGUACAAAG